UAACGCAUCGUCGCUGCCUAUAAAACUA
This 28-nucleotide small RNA is filed under the name Bombyx mori (domestic silkworm). Its description in RNAcentral is "ovarian small RNA-18825". Lineage: Eukaryota; Metazoa; Arthropoda; Insecta; Lepidoptera; Bombycidae. The record is from RNAcentral.